GUCCCCUACGGGGGGCAGCAGUGGGGAAUAUUGCACAAUGGGGGAAACCCUGAUGCAGCGACGCCGCGUGAGUGAUGAAGUAUUUCGGUAUGUAAAGCUCUAUCAGCAGGGAAGAUAAUGACGGUACCUGACUAAGAAGCUCCGGCUAAAUACGUGCCAGCAGCCGCGGUAAUACGUAUGGAGCAAGCGUUAUCCGGAUUUACUGGGUGUAAAGGGAGCGCAGGCGGCUUGGCAAGUCUGAUGUGAAAGGCUGGGGCUCAACCCCAGGACUGCAUUGGAAACUGUUAGGCUAGAGUGUCGGAGAG
This 305-nucleotide ribosomal RNA is filed under the name uncultured bacterium. RNAcentral's name for it is "bacterial SSU rRNA". It matches the Rfam family "Bacterial small subunit ribosomal RNA", at positions 334 to 656 of the family's 1533-position model. The record is from RNAcentral.